GACGAACGCUGGCGGCGUGCUUAACACAUGCAAGUCGAACGGAAAGGCCCUGCUUUUGUGGGGUGCUCGAGUGGCGAACGGGUGAGUAACACGUGAGUAACCUGCCCUUGACUUUGGGAUAACUUCAGGAAACUGGGGCUAAUACCGGAUAGGAGCUCCUGCUGCAUGGUGGGGGUUGGAAAGUUUCGGCGGUUGGGGAUGGACUCGCGGCUUAUCAGCUUGUUGGUGGGGUAGUGGCUUACCAAGGCUUUGACGGGUAGCCGGCCUGGGAGGGUGACCGGCCACAUUGGGACUGAGAUACGGCCCAGACUCCUACGGGGGGCAGCAGUGGGGAAUAUUGCACAAUGGGACGAAGCCUGAUGCAGAAGCGCCGCGUGCGGGAUGACGGCCUUCGGGUUGUAAACCGCUUUCGCCUGUGACGACGCGUGAGUGACGGUAAUGGGUAAAGAAGCACCGGCUAACUACGUG
RNAcentral lists this ribosomal RNA (468 nucleotides) under uncultured bacterium. Its description in RNAcentral is "partial 16S ribosomal RNA". It matches the Rfam family "Bacterial small subunit ribosomal RNA", at positions 28 to 507 of the family's 1533-position model. The record is from RNAcentral.